UAAACCCUCAUUAUCCCGGCGUCCAA
This 26-nucleotide unclassified non-coding RNA is filed under the name Mus musculus (house mouse). RNAcentral's name for it is "oocyte_clustered_small_RNA5215". The record is from RNAcentral. Lineage: Eukaryota; Metazoa; Chordata; Mammalia; Rodentia; Muridae.